UACGUAGGGGGCAAGCGUUGUCCGGAAUUACUGGGCGUAAAGCGCGUGUAGGCGGCCAGGUAGGUCUGGUGUGAAAACUCGAGGCUUAACCUCGAGAUGUCAUCGGAAACCAUCUGGCUAGAGUCCGGAAGAGGAGAGUGGAAUUCCUGGUGUAGCGGUGAAAUGCGCAGAUAUCAGGAAGAACACCAAUGGCGAAAGCAGCUCUCUGGGACGGUACUGACGCUGAGGAACGAAAGCGUGGGGAGCGAACAGG
RNAcentral lists this ribosomal RNA (253 nucleotides) under uncultured bacterium. Its description in RNAcentral is "partial 16S ribosomal RNA". It matches the Rfam family "Bacterial small subunit ribosomal RNA", at positions 524 to 776 of the family's 1533-position model. The record is from RNAcentral.